Spea bombifrons (plains spadefoot toad) is the source of this 407-nucleotide long non-coding RNA. RefSeq lists it as uncharacterized. The record is from RefSeq and is a predicted model, not a curated record. Lineage: Eukaryota; Metazoa; Chordata; Amphibia; Anura; Pelobatidae. The transcript is spliced from 2 exons.
GGAGUGGAUCAGGCCAGUAGUAUUGAACAGGAUGAGUCAAUGAGGAGAGGGAGGCCAGUAUUGUUGAACCGGAAGAGUUGGUCAGGGAAGGAAGCCUAGUAGUGUUUCACCGGAAAAGUUGGUCAGAAAAGGAAGACCAGUAGUGUUGAACCGGAAGAGUUGGUCAGAAAAGGAAGACCAGCAGUGUUGAACCGGAAGAGUUGGUCAGAAAAGGAAGACCAGUAGUAAGGAGCCUAGUAGUGUUGAACCGGAAGAGUUUGUCAGGAGGAAGAGACCACCAGUAGUAAAAAAAGUUGAUCAGAAAAAAGGAGCAGUUGUCAGCAGUGAACAGUAGUCAAUCUAGACAGGGAGACCACUGGUCAAUCAGAAAAAAAUGAAGAGAGAUGAAGAUCAAGAGAGAUGAGGAA